GGCCAUUCUAACACAUGGAUAUGUUUUGUUUUAAACCAUUCCAUUGUUGCCCUGGCUUUAUGUUUAGGGUCGUUGUCCUGCUGGAAGGUGAACCUCCGCCCCAGUCUCAAGUCUUUUGCAGACUCCAAGAGGUUUUCUUCCAACAUUGCCCUGUAUUUGGCUCCAUCCAUCUUCCCAUCAACUCUGACCAGCUUCCCUGUCCCUGUCCCGGCCUUGUCUUGGAAGUGACAGUCAGCAACAGGAAGUGUUGGACCUGAAAUAAACACAACAUCCAGAUGAUCCAGUGAGACUGAAGAAAACCCAGAGGUGGCAUACGACCUGGUACUAAAUACAUUAGAGGGUUCCCCAGGCAACCAGAACGUGGAGUGUCCACCAGCAACCGAUCGUCAGCUGCAAAGCAGAGUAUGACGAGUAUGACCAGCGACUUCAGAGGCCACACCCUUGACAAUGCACACUUCAAUCCAGCAUGUCUUUAUCCUGUUUUCCUUCUUUCACCCCAACCGGUCGCAGCAGAUGGCCCCGCCCCUCCCUGAGCCUGGUUCUGCCGGAGGUUUCUUCCUGUUAAAAGGGAGUUUUUUCCUUCCCACUGUCGCC
Molecule: long non-coding RNA, 594 nt
Organism: Oreochromis aureus
Lineage: Eukaryota; Metazoa; Chordata; Actinopteri; Cichliformes; Cichlidae
Source: Ensembl